Podarcis lilfordi (Lilford's wall lizard) is the source of this 78-nucleotide non-coding RNA. The record is from the annotation of a GenBank genome assembly. Lineage: Eukaryota; Metazoa; Chordata; Lepidosauria; Squamata; Lacertidae.
AUCUUGUUGGGAUAACUCAGUUGGUAGAGCAUGAGACUCUUAAUCUCAGGGUUGUGGGUUCAAGCCCCACAUUGGGUG